This 343-nucleotide unclassified non-coding RNA is filed under the name uncultured Orbilia. Its description in RNAcentral is "sequence contains ITS1". The stretch from base 1 to 105 matches the Rfam family "5.8S ribosomal RNA", at positions 50 to 154 of the family's 154-position model. Lineage: Eukaryota; Fungi; Ascomycota; Orbiliomycetes; Orbiliales; Orbiliaceae. The record is from RNAcentral.
GAAACGCGAUAGUUAAUGUGAAUUGCAGAAUUCAGUGAAUCAUCGAGUCUUUGAACGCACAUUGCGCCCCCUGGCAUUCCGGCGGGCAUGUCUGUUUGAGCGUCAUUUCAACACCUCGUCCGCUGACGUUUUCGUCACGCGGUAACGGUCAUGGGCUCCGGCCGAGCGGUUCUUCGGAACCGUUGGCGGGCUUUAAAGUUGAACGCUCUGCGGGUGACUCAUUGCCAAACCGAACUAGUAGAAUUUCUUUCUGUUGGGUAAGGUUGGGCUCACCUCGCCUGAACAAAACCACAAAUUUUUAAGGUUUGACCUCAGAUCAGACAAGGAUACCCGCUGAACUUAA